UCUGCCUCCUGUGAGGCUGUGAGCCUGUGACCCCGCCUUGCGACGUGAUCGCUGCCGCUGUGGCGCCUUCGCCGGAGCUUGCUGAUCCACUCUGCAGUUCCUUCCCGUCUACAGCUCUCCUCUCCCGCGUGCUGAGCCCUGUUGACGGCGACGGCGGCGGUUCGUCGGUGUGGGCGUAAGUGUAGGUGCUGUCGGGGCGGCUCUGCGGGGACGGUGCCGGCGCCGUCGGCGUCGGAAGAUCGGAGUGCAGCCGUCGUUGAUCGCCGGACGCACAUUUCUACACCUCACCCGUCUCGGCCGCCAUUCUGAUUACUUAGCUUCUGGACGACAUGGGUGCUGAGUCUGGUCUGUAGAAAAGCUAUGUUAAGUGGGAUGAAGCUAACCAAGAUAUAAUUAUGGGGAAACUGGUCUGUAGUCGAGAAGAUAAGCACAUGAAGAGAGAAGAUAGGAAGAGGUGGCCACAUAAUCUCACUCUUGCUGGGUGUCGAGCCAAAUUUGUCGUUGCAAGAGUCAAGAAAAUGGGUCUGUGGUCUGUGAAGGAUUUCGUCGAUGAGCACACCCAUCCUUUUCAAUAAUACAUAAAGUAGAUUGCAAAGCUGAAUAGUAAUACACAUUUUAUGUUCUGCAAGAACAAAGAAAGAGUUAAUUUGACAACCUGGAUAUAUUGACGUACAUGUAAUAUUAUGCUGAA
This is a long non-coding RNA of Lolium rigidum, 691 nucleotides long. RefSeq lists it as uncharacterized. NCBI's taxonomy places the organism in Eukaryota, Viridiplantae, Streptophyta, Magnoliopsida, Poales, Poaceae. The transcript is spliced from 2 exons. The record is from RefSeq and is a predicted model, not a curated record.